This 112-nucleotide ribosomal RNA is filed under the name Poritiphilus flavus. The record is from RNAcentral. Lineage: Bacteria; Pseudomonadati; Bacteroidota; Flavobacteriia; Flavobacteriales; Flavobacteriaceae.
UCGGGUGGCCAUGGCGACGGGGUUCACCCCUAUCCAUUCCGAACAGGGAAGUUAAGUCCGUCUGCGCCGAUGGUACUGCCAGACCAGGUGGGAGAGUAGGCCGCCGCCUUCU